Molecule: ribosomal RNA, 450 nt
Filed under: uncultured bacterium
Lineage: Bacteria
Description: partial 16S ribosomal RNA
Rfam family: Bacterial small subunit ribosomal RNA
Source: RNAcentral
GUGGGGAAUAUUGGACAAUGGGCGAAAGCCUGAUCCAGCCAUGCCGCGUGUGUGAAGAAGGUCUUCGGAUUGUAAAGCACUUUAAGUUGGGAGGAAGGGCAGUAAGUUAAUACCUUGCUGUUUUGACGUUACCGACAGAAUAAGCACCGGCUAACUUCGUGCCAGCAGCCGCGGUAAUACGAAGGGUGCAAGCGUUAAUCGGAAUUACUGGGCGUAAAGCGCGCGUAGGUGGUUUUGUAAGUUGGAGGUGAAAUACCCGGGCUCAACCUGGGAACUGCCUCCAAAACUGCAUGACUAGAGUACGGUAGAGGGUAGUGGAAUUUCCUGUGUAGCGGUGAAAUGCGUAGAUAUAGGAAGGAACACCAGUGGCGAAGGCGACUACCUGGACUGAUACUGACACUGAGGUGCGAAAGCGUGGGGAGCAAACAGGAUUAGAAACCCUUGUAGUCC